UACAGAGGUCUCAAGCGUCGUUCGGAUUCAUUGGGCGUAAAGGGUGCGUAGGCGGCGCGGUAAGUCGGGUGUGAAAUCUCGGAGCUUAACUCCGAAACUGCAUUCGAUACUGCCGUGCUUGAGGACUGGAGAGGAGACUGGAAUUUACGGUGUAGCGGUGAAAUGCGUAGAUAUUGGGAGGAACACCAGUGGCGAAGGCGGCUCACUGGACUGGUACUGACGCUGAGGCGCGAAAGCGUGGGGAGCAAACGGG
Molecule: ribosomal RNA, 253 nt
Filed under: uncultured bacterium
Lineage: Bacteria
Description: partial 16S ribosomal RNA
Rfam family: Bacterial small subunit ribosomal RNA
Source: RNAcentral